CUGAGAUUUGCAGUGGAAGUACUUUGUACGGGAUCUUGUUACUCCGAUCUGAGAUUUGUGCGCUGCUCAUCGGGCCGAUUUUUGUCAUGCGGCUCAUGCCUAUCAACUCCUGAAGAAAGGUGGGCUUAAAGAUGUAAACAUUGUCGUUUUCAUGUACGAUGACGUUGCUUUCAAUGAAGAGAACCCCAGGCAGAAAAUCAAAAUUAACAGCCCACAUGGCGAAGAUGUAAACGAUGGAGUGCCAAAGGUUCGUUUCCUGCUAUUUCGCUAACCCAGUAUUAAAAUCAAGAAAUUUUGUUUCCUUCUUGUUCAUUUGUUGGGUUUGUACGUGAACAGUAUUAUUCCGAGGGUGAUGUCACUAUAAACAACUUCUUUGCUACUAUUCUUGGAAACAAAACUGCCCUUACAGGCGGCAGUGGAAAGGUUGUGGACAGUGGUCCAAACGGCCCUAUUUUUUUUAUAUAUUACACUGAUCAUGGGGUCCUAGUGUCCUCGGUAACUCUCUCUCUCUCUCUCUCUCUCUACUAAGCUUGGUUAGCGGUGGCACCUUGCACCCUAGCCAAGUGGAGACAAAUGCAUGAGGUAGGCAUGUCUUGACAAGGUGACCCAAUGGUGUCGGUUGGUGUCGGCAUUGGUCCAUUAGGCAAGUGGCUGCUGGGAUGCACGUGAAGGCCCAAUGAUUAGUGGGCAUGGAUGCUAUACGAGAAGCUAGCUUGUGGGACAAUGCAAUCAGAAAACGGCUAAGUAUUUGGAGCUGGGUUGGAUCACGAAAUUGGCCAGCUAACCUUGAUUGGGAUCAGGCAAAACGGUUAUUGACGGUUAUUGCACUCUGCACAUGUUGUUGGCAGGUAGGGACAGGUGUUCCAAGCAGAAUCGGGCAAUUAUUGGCAGUUAUCUCCAGACAAUUUCAUUUUCCUGCGUGCUGGCAGCUUGUGGUUGUGCCAGCGCAACCCUAGGGUAGUUGGGAGUGUCAACUGCAGAUCAUGGGGCCAUCCCAUGAUCCCAUUUACUUAGUGGCCACGUUUAUUGAUUGUAGCCUUAUAGAGGCAUUGGCUUUUCGAGUCUAAGGCAGAGGGAUGUUAUGAUGUUAUGGUCUGGUACUCUUAAGUGUUUAUUCUUUGUUUGUUGGCUGCAUGGAGUCACUAUCUCUAUAAUCUAUAAUUGACCAAGUAAGGCACUGUGUAAAAUUAAUUUGCGCUUCUUUUUUGUGGAAGACACGAUCCUUUGUUUCCAGAUUGGCUUGUCUUCAAUUUUAAAAAAUGGCACAGUGCAAUCUGAAUGAUGUGAGAAUUUUAUGUUGUGGAAACUGUAUUUUUAUCAGCUAUGAUGCCUUUUUUUCA
Rhododendron vialii is the source of this 1340-nucleotide long non-coding RNA. RefSeq lists it as uncharacterized. Lineage: Eukaryota; Viridiplantae; Streptophyta; Magnoliopsida; Ericales; Ericaceae. The transcript has 2 exons. The record is from RefSeq and is a predicted model, not a curated record.